Lucilia cuprina (Australian sheep blowfly) is the source of this 854-nucleotide long non-coding RNA. RefSeq lists it as uncharacterized. The transcript has 5 exons. The record is from RefSeq and is a predicted model, not a curated record. Lineage: Eukaryota; Metazoa; Arthropoda; Insecta; Diptera; Calliphoridae.
AAAGCAUAUAAAAAAGGCUGUCUUAAAGGCUAGGCUAAGCGCUACAGUAAUUUUAGUUUAACAGUUUCUAUGUUGCAGUAUGGUUGUUAUGGUUGCAAAUCUGUUAUUUUCCUUUGGAGUAUUUAGAGGUUCUGGUGUUUCUUAUGAACUAUUUUUUUGAUAACAAAAAAAAAAAAAAAAUAAAAAAUAAAUCCAGUAGAAAAAGUGUUGCUUACAGUGAUUGCAUUGGUUCUGCCAAAUACAUAUAAGUACAUAUAUGUAUGUAUCUGCCACAAAUACUAGCACAGCAAUAGCAACAUCAUCAUCAUAUUUCAUUUGCUACCAUAUAAAUCAACACUUUGAUUUAGAUUUCAAUGUAUGCCAAAAUACUAAAGUUAACAUGGGGGAGGGUGUUUGUCGCAAUGGAAAAUUGUAAAAAAAAAAAAAAUAUUUGCAUGACACUUGAAAAACAUAUAAACGUAACGAUGAAGAUGAAGAAGAAAUUUUCAAAUAUAUUUGAAAGUGUAAAUAACUACACUUUAUAUGCGUUUUUUCACACAUACUUUUUUUGUAGCCUUAUGGAUUUUCUUAUUCAUUUAUGUUUAAUAAAAAAAAGUAAAUAUAAAGAAAAAGUUUUUCUGGUCAAAUUUAAACUUCUUCUUGCCAAAAUAAACACAUCACAAGUCAAGUUUUCUUUAGUAUUCAAUUUGAUAAAGAAAAAAGAAGUAAAAGAAAAACGGAAACGGAAGGGACCAGAUAAGACCAAGAGAAAAAGAGAGCUUUGAAAAGCCAGCAAUCAAGUGUAUGUGAGAAAAUGUAUGUAUUUUAUGUAGUUUACCGGUUUGUAAGUAUUUGUUGUACGAAUGUAUUUUCAG